GGUGCAGUGGGUCAAGGAUCUGUCAUUGUCACUGCUGUGGUGUAGGUUGCAGAUGCAGCUCGGAUUUGAUCCUUGGCCCGGGAACGUCCAUAUGCCAUGGGUGCAGCCAAAAAUGAACACACAAAAAAGUCUCUGUCUAUAAAGCACAAAAAACUUUAGAAUCUCAUUAAGGAUACAUAAGACCUCUAAGGAGAAAUUAUAAAACCUUAAUCAAAGACAUUCAGGAAGACAUAAAUAAAGGGGGAAAUACGCUUUUGUUCGUUGACUCGAAGCCUCAACAGUGAGAAGAUUGUCCACAAAUCUUAAUAAAACCCACACAGGUUCUGUGCUGGAACCUCGGCACGCUGAUUCUGAACCUGAUCUGGAAGUUUGAAAAGCCAAGAAUCCACAAAAUUCUUGAUCCCCAGCAGAGUGGGAGAACUUGCUCUGCCAGACCUCGGUCCUUUUACAGAGCCGACAUCACGACGGCGGUGCUGACGCUGAUGCGGAGAUGGGGUGACCUAAGGCAAGGUGACAGGUGGGUGACCAGGAACUGCCCCCACGCAUGCUCGCUGAGCGUCAGGUGGCCUGUGCACGGCGGGGAGAGAGGGCGCUCGGUGAUAGCUGGGGUCCACGCGCAGAAAACGCUGCCCCGGACCCCUCCCUCACACCAUACAUCACAAAUUCAUUCUCGGCAGUCCAGGCGACGGACGACUCAUGAAGAAAGGCCAAACUAUGAAGACUUUAUCGCUGAAUCUAGAAGGCUAUGUCCGUGACCUCAGGGUUUCAGAGGAUUUUCUAAAACGUAAGAAGCCAUCACCGCAAAGGAAAAGACUGAUUAGUUCGACUACAUUAAAAUCUAGAGCUAAGCAUUAAACAAGCUAUGUAAGAGCAAAAACAGCCCCGGAAGAAGAACGCCCCCCCAAAUAUAAAGAAGCCACACAAAUCAACCAGAAAAAUGAGCGACUUAAUGAAAAAUUGGCAGCAGACGAGCAGGCUCAUCACAAGAGGGGGAUGCAGUGGCCCGUGAGCAUGUGGAAAGGUGUCGGGCUGACUCGCGCUCCAACGGGAUGUGUAAAAACCUCAGGGCGCCCUCGGCCCCUGGGGGGAGGGCAGGCUGCCAGCAGGAAGCCGCACAGACAUGACUUAGUCACACCCUGGAGAAGGGCUCCGAGGGAAGGGCUCUCUGCCCGUGACAUUCCGUGAGAGCCCAGGGACAUGACGGGCAGGCCUUGAAGAGCACACGCACUUGGGCCUGGGACCUGGCCGGAACCCUUGCAACCCCCGUCGUAGAGACUCGGGGCUGCGAUUCAAGUGCCCUGGGUUAUGUUGUACAGUUGUCAAGGGACGGGGCUAAGACUUCAUCCAGGAUUCAGACGUUCUUUCAAAAAAAGGGAAAGGAAAAAAGGGCAAACAGACCCUUUGACGUCUGCACCACUGUGCACAGCAGGAAGGGCUGGUGGAGUGGUGGCUGGAGAGCGAGGCCACUCUCCCAGCAGCCGAGAUGACAAGUGCCAUCCAUCUCUGAAGGCCAAGGGUGAGCCACCCGACCCGGAGAAUGGCCCAGCCCUGGAGAUUGAGGAAAUUAAAAUGUGUGCACAUCAGUUGGCUGCUUGGGGCAGGUGGGCCUGCACCUGCCAGAGAAGAAUGGGGUUGAAUCCUGAGAACGGCACACGGGCCCCGCAGCCGAGGGCAUGGAGAGGGCUCCACAGCUUGGUUGUUCCAAAUUGGCAGGGAAGGAAGGCCCAGCUUCGUCGUCAGAGACCGGGGUCCCCCUACCCGCCACAGGCAGGCAGUGAUCAGGCCACAAACCCUCCCGGCUGCCCACCUGCAAUCACAGCCUGGUCCCAGGCUCCUGCAAGAAGGUACAGGGAGUCAGGGGGCUGGAUGCUGGGCACGUUGCUGGCACGUUGCCCCUUCAGACAGAGGUCUGUGGACAAGUGACCUGGCUUGUCCUCCCCACCUUCAGGGAGUCUGAGGCUGGUGUGUGACAAGAUGUGGGUGCAGCGCAGGCCGGGCCCAUGUGGACUUGCGGCAGCUCCUCUGGACGCUCCGGCCCGAGGCGGGCCCGGGGCUCCGCCAGGAAAAUGGGAGGUCUGGCAUGGCGAACGCGGCCUCUGGCGUGGCCACCACCACAGCUGGCGACACCGGCUGCCAAGUCUCGCCCUCUCUCCAGAGAGCAGAACCAGAGAGCACGGCACCCCGCCUUCCAGCUGGGGGCCCCACUUCAUAGGGCGACUGCAAUUAGCUUUCAAAGAAGGAUGGGCACAGAAAAAAGGCUGGAAGGAAACGGAGCAAACCAUGAACGGUUUGUCUUCAGGUGAAGAGACUGGAGGACGGUCACUUCCUUCUCGUGGCUGCGUUUUCUGUCGGGGCUGCCCCUGCCUCCAGUCGGGAACCCGUGUCUCCCCGCCUUGCCCUCCGGCUCCCGGCCCAGCCGAGCGCAUUGGAGCAUCCUUCGCUCUCCACCCGGCCCGGGAGUGCCCCCGCGCCCCCACAGAGCCCUGUCCCACCACAGGCGGCCCCAGAGCACCUGCUCUCACCUCCUUGCCUCCCCGUCCUGCCCCUGCCCGACCCCGUCCCCCACUCUCAAGGCAGGUCCCACUUGUCCUUGACACUGGCUCCCACGAGGGGCAGGAAUUCCCAUUUCCCAAUCCUUCAGUUGUGACAUCAUUUCUCUGUCACAGCAGCUCUGUGGGAUGAUGGCUCUGAUUCGCAUUUUGAGAUGAGCAAGUGAGUUGAGAAAGGCUGAAAACCAUGCCUGGUCACACACACUAGGCCAGGAUGCCAGCACCCAGGACCGUGGGCUGUAAGGCCCCAGUCCGUGCCACGGCCCUCUGCCCCCAGGGGCCUAUGCUAUUCUCUUUCCCUGGUGACUCCCCCUCCCCUGGGGACCGAUCCAAAUCCUGCCUAGUCUCCCAGGCAUCACCCACGUUCUUCCCGGAGCUUCCCAAGGCUCCCAAGAUUGCUCCCGCGUCUGGGUGGGCGUGGGGCUCAUGUGUGCCUGGCCCUCAGGUCCGUGCCAGUUUCUUGGCACAGGAACCCCGCCCUCCCCCCGUCCCCCCAUGCCCCAGCACAGGCGUGUCCCUGAGCAGCUCUCUCCACAGGGAUAAACAGACGCUGCCCCGUCCCCCCCCACCACGGCCCCUUCCCACCCGCCCGCCUCGCCUCUCCCCCUCUUGGCGGAUUUGCCAAAGCCCCAUAGCUCCUGCCCUGGGAGCGGGAACCCCCUCCCCAGGGCAUCCGGACAGCUGCAGCCAGACCCUGUGUGACAUUGCUGAGCCGCGGCUCCAGGCCCGUGCCAGCUGCCCAUGCCUGGCUCACAGACCACGAGCCAGCACUGCCGCGUCGCCACCUGUGUCUCUGCUCAGAGGCCCAAAGUAAGGGACACGGACAGAAAGUGUAAAAGCCAUUCCCACGACAGCUGCCAGGAACAGGGCGAACAGUGGAGUGAAAAUGUAUAUUCACAGCUGGCACCCAGUUCCGCUCAGGAAAAUACCUUGCCUGAGUGGACACCUGUUGUUUUUGCCCAUCCGGCAGCUAGGCCUGGCUCUGGGAACAGCCUCUCGAAGCUUCCCUGGGGGGCUGCUCCUUCCCUACUCCCCAGGCUGCAGGGGGCAGGUGCCCAGCAGCCAUCCUCAGAGAGGGCCCGGGGCCCAGGCCUUGGCCUUGGGAGGCCCCGCGGCAGGUCUGAGGAUGGCUGGUGCCUGACUGGGGUCAACAGCAGCCGGGCCCAGACGCCGGCAAAGACGAUGGAGAGAGAGAGGGGGUCUUUCCGCUGGGUCUGCUGAGCGGGCGGCCCUCUUGCCCCCUUCGGAGAGUGGCCGCCCGAGGACACGGCCAUCCCAGGGGGCAGUGGGGAGGGGAGGGGGGAGCCGGAGAGGGAACAAGGCGGGGGUGGGGGGAGCCCACGGGGGAGAGCGCAGGGUCAUCCCAGCCCCGGGGUCCAGCUGUGUCUGAAACAGCUGGGUCCAGUUGUGUGAGCCAAGAAAUGUCCCUUCUGUGUGCUUCGGCUCGAUUGAGUUGGGGUUCUAUCCGUCGUCACUGAGAGGACCUCCAGGAAUGUGUGGGACAAACUGGGGGUGAGGCGUGAGCCCAGGGGACGGGCCAGGGGGGGUCGAGGGUACACACGAGCCGAGCUGCUCACCCUCCCCUCGCUGUGCUUGGGGGGUCGCGGGCAGAGGGGACGGCAGUUAGCGCCGCAGCGGCCCCUAAAGCCGUGGCCGCCCUGUCCCCUCACCCUGGGCUAAGCUUGUUUAAAGCAAAUCGUGGGACACGCCACGUCUCGCGUGCGGUCCAGGCCGCGCAGGGCGUACCUGGAGCAUGACAGUGCUGUGGCCAGGGUCAAGGGGGACCCGGGGAUCCCGACUGGUCCUGGGGAGGACGCUGGGCUUUCUACGCCCCUGGAGAUGAGGGCGCUGAGGCCUUCUGUCCCCAGCGCUGCCCCUCACGACAGGGCUCGCAGGCUUCAGCACACGCAUCUGAGAGGCGCGGAGAGGGUUCUGCGGGGCCAAGGGAGGGGUCCGAACGGCGGGGGUCACUGGGGGGACAGCGGCCACGGAGCCGGGCCAGGGUCAACCCCAAGCGAGGGCAGGAAACGGAAAGGGAGAGACACAGCCACCCGCACAACUCAGGCGACGCUCCGGGGCCUCCCCGCUCCAGGCCGUCACUGUCCAGGGCUCCGAAGGCAGUUCCAGGGGACAGUUCCCGGCAGCGAGAGCGGCCCCAGGAAACGUUAAUAUACAAUGGAAUCUGGGUUAAGCUCGGUCUUCUCCAAGAGCUGAGCUCACAGGACAUUCCCAAGAACCCUCUGGAGAGGUGGUGGGGAAGGUUUCUGGAGGUCUUUGGAUGAAGAAAACAAAUUGAAAAAAAAUGGCCUUGAUUUUCAAGGCGAAAUUACAGAGGACGAAAAAAAUGUUUUUAAUCUAAUUAAGAGCGAUCUUUUCACCUUCAUCACAACAUCGCAGCAAUGUGCCAGUUCUUAACUUCACACAAUAAUCAAAGCAAUUAGUGAGGGAGAAGCCUUGGAAACGGUGCAGAUGUUCUGAGAAUGUCUAACGGGGAGAAAUGAGUUGCAGGCCUCGUUCUCAGCAUCCGGCUCCGGGCCCUGGCCACCAAAUGCAGACAUCUGCUCGGGCCCCACCCCCAGGCCCCGAGGGCGCGGGCUUGAGAAACACAGGUCCCUUCCCAGGCCGCCUCCCAGCCAGGCCAGAUCCGGGGCCGAGAGGCUCCCCAUGGCUCCCCAAGCUGGAGCCUGGACACAGUCAGAGCCACCCCAGAGCUGGGGCUGGGGGUGGGGGGGAGCAUAAGAUCCAAUUGUGCUAACAACCCAUAUGUCCAAAGUAAUCAGCUCAGCCCGGCUCUCCGCUGGUCCUGCAGGAGGACUGGAGGGCAGGGCAAGGGCCGUGGGGCCCCACGGAACCCUCAGCCACGACCCCCAUCCCCCAGUUUGCACAAAUACUGUUUCACGAGAAGACGCAGUGGCAUCUGUCUGGCAUGGCCCUGCAGUCCCCAUUCCAAGGCUGCUGGCCUCUGAGUGGGCCCAGGACUCACACUGGUUGGACGUGAGGAAAUGUCCAGUAACCCGAGACAGCGCAGACGUGCAGACAUGGCUCACUUAGCGUGAGCAAGCGACACAGCCUGUCCCAGAGCAGAGGGCCACUAGGUUGGUGUUAAGGGGCUGCGGGGGACAUGAAGACCCCAGCUGGGUCAGACAGCAGGUCUUGGAGCCUCUGCCGCGUGGCAGGUCCCAGGGACACAGAGGCAAAGGACACAUCUGCCCUCUCUUGGGGACACCCGGGUGGCUCGGGGCCCAGCCCGCAGCCCCUCAGCAUGCACAUUCCAUGCACACCAAGGCUCCUCAGUGCCGCCCUGCCAGAGGCCUCCGGAGCGCUAUCUCUGACCCCAGGGGCCUGCUGCGCCACACAGGGCCGGCCGGAGUGACGCAGGAUGGGCCCCCCGGGGGGCAGCUCCCGGUUGUGAGAGAUAAACACCCUAAGCUCCUUCAGCAGCUGGUGGAGCAACUCCGAGGAGUGUUCUGUGCAGCUUACCAGCUGCCCACGUAGAGCCCGUCCUCAGUAGGCGACCUGCAUGGGGGCUCCCGAGGUGGCUCUGGACCCAGCAGGCUGGCCCAUGUGGUGCAGUCGGCCGAGCAGCAAGGCACCCUUGACGGAGCUCCCUUGGGCUGCUGUGCACAGAGCAGAGCAGAGGAGGCAGCAGUGAAGACGCAUCAGUGGGGGUGGCAGCAGAGAGAAAUGGAAGCAGCUCUGACCAGAUGUGGUGGGAUGGAGGGCAGGCACUGGGCACCGUGUGGGAAGCUGGCAGGGCCUGCGAUGGGUUGGACACAGGCACUGAGAAAAAAGCACGAUUUUAAAAAGGCUUCCGGCCAGUUAGGAGAGCAGUGGCCUGCUGCUCCCCUCUCCCUGGUUUCAUAGAUCCCUCCUCCUCCUCCUCCAAGCAGAAAGCCAACAGGAGUGCACAGAGGAGUGUACGCGGCCCAUGCCCUCGGCAGCCCUAGGAGAUGGAGCACUGUGGCCUUCAUGUUCCCCAUGACCAGAGAAAUGAACCGAACUCCAACAGCACUGCAGCCACCUGCCCACCCCCACGAGCCUCUAGAGGAUGUGUCGAGAUGAGGCUUAAAACACCCUGUCCAGAUGCGUUAAGAAUGUGCGUGACCUCGGCAAAGACGGAGGCACAGGUCCCUCUGCAGAGACUUCCCUCCACGGAAACACAGAAGUCAAGGAAAGUGUGUCAGAAUUGACUUUGCCAGAGCCUUUGACUCUCUGUGAAAGGUUUACAGCAUGCAAGUGAACAUCCAAUCAAGUAAUGGGAAGUUUAAAAAAAAUAUGGCAGGAAAGCUCGGUGGCAUUUUUACUUGUCUUUACAACACUGCUGUCCGUCACUCGCUCGCCAUCUUGAAGAUGGCUGCCCAUAUUCCCAGCGUGGGUCCCUGAUGCUGGGUUCUGGAGGGGGCAGAGCAGAUCUUGAGAAAUUGGGUCUGUUCUGGGUUGUCUGGGGAUGGCCUGGAGGGGACAGCCUUUGUUUCCUCUACAACAGAACUUACUCGUGAAAAAUGGUGGACAUUCCUCGUAAGCGCUGUAUGAGAGUCAAACAAGUCCCAGCCACGCGGGGAAAAGAUUGCAGUAAAGGCCUAGAUGAGAGCACUGACAGCAGUCAGAGUUGGGAGAAUGGGGGGAAAGUUUCUUUGGGGAAGUCAGGCCAUUUUCAAACACCUGUGUAUACUGAAGAAUUGAGAAAGCCAAGAGCAUGCCCAUGGCAGGAUGCAUGCUCAGAACCAUCCUAAGAACACAUGAAGCUCUCACCAAUGGCUGAUCGCUGGGAGGCGAUGGCUAAGGCAGAGCUGUAAACAGCCUGGCCAGAUCCUAAAGGACUGCCCCCACACAGAGCUAAACUGCAAAGGCUGGGAGGGUUCUUUUACUUUUUUCCUUCCUCCUGGCACUUGAGAAAGUCUGUCAAAACUCCAGCUGACAAAAGAGGAAUGGUGACAUAAGAGCUACAGCUCACAGCAAGAAAAGAAAUAUCCCGAGCAGGGAAAAGACUCUGCUGUCUAGAGUUAUAUAUAUCAUAUUCAAAAUAGCCAGUUUUCAACCAAAAAGUCAUGAAGUAUGUAAAGAAGCAGGAAAGUAUGGCCCAUUCACAGGAGAACUAGACAUCAGCUGUCUCUGAGGAAGUACAUUGAACUUACUAGAGAAAGAGUUUAAAUCAACUUAAAUAUAAGGAAGCAGAGGAAAUUAUAGAUGACUAAAGGUAACCAUGAGAAUGAUGUGUGAAUGGAUGGAGAAUAUCAGUAAAGAGGAAGUUAUAAAAAGGAAUUAAAUUCUGGAACUGAAAAUUAUAAUGAUUGAUAUGAAGAACUCACUAGAGUGUUUGCCUAGCAUAUCUGAACUGAAGAAAAAAAAUCAGUGAACUUGAAGCUAGGUCAAUCUAAAUUAUCCACUCUGAGGAGCAAAAAGAAAAGCGGGUGAAGUUAAAAUGAAUAGACCCUCUGGGACCUGUGGCAUAUCACCAAACCCAUAGUGGGAAUCCCAGGAGAGGCGAGAAAGGAAGAGGGAGUAUUUAAAGAAAUAAUAACUGACAACUCAAGUUUAAUGGAAGAUGUGACUCUAAACCUCCCAGAAGCUCAUUGAAUUCCAAGAAGCAAAUCAUAAUCAAAUUGCUGAAAGAUAAAGAUAGUAUGAUGAAAGGAAUGAGAAAAUGGACUAAACACAUACAGGGAGAGUCAAUAAGAUUAACAUCAAAUUUCUCACUAGAAGGCAUGGAGGCCAGAAGGGAGCAGGAUAAAAAUUUUAAAGUGUUAAAAGAAGAAAACAAAAAAUGAAAUUGAAUUAAGACUUUUAUAUCUACCAAAAGUGUCUUUCAAUAGUGAAGGAGAAAUUUAGAUGUUCUCAGAUAAACAUUUGAUAAGGGAGUUCCUUGCUAGUCAGUUUGCCCUACAAAAAGUGUAACAAGAGUCCUUUAGGCUGAGAUGAAAGGAUGCUAGAAAGUAGCCCAAACCCUUACAAAGAAGUAAAGAAUUCCCGAAAAGGUAACCACAUAGGUAAACAUAAAAGCCAGUAUUAUCAUAAUUUUAGCUUGUAAUUACUCUUUAUAUCCUGCCUGUCUUAAAAGACAAAUGCAUAGAGCAAUAACUGAACAUCUAUAUUAUUGAAUACAUAAUGUAUAAAGAUGUAAUUUGUGACAAUAGCAACACGAGGCAGAUAUAACUAAAUAGGAGCUAACUUUUUAUAUUGAGGAGAAAGUUCAUCGGGAUGUAACAAUUAUAAGCAUAUACACAUCAAACAACAGAGCCCCAAGAUACAUGAAGGAAACUUUAACAGAUUUCAGGGGAGAAAUAGACAGUUCUACAAUAAUGGAGACUUCAACAACCAACACUCAACAAUGUAUAAAACAACCAGACAGAAGAUCCACAAGGAAACAGAACACUUAAGCAAUGCUAUAAACCAACUAGACCCAAUAAACAUGUAGAACAUUCCACCUAACAACAGAAGAAUACAUUCUUCUCAAGUGCACUUGGAAUAUUCUCCAGGAUAGAUCACAUGUUAGGCCCAAAGCAGUCUCAGGAAAUUUUUAAAAAUUAAAAUCUUACUUAGUAUCUUCUCUAACCAAAAUGGAAUGAGGCUAAAAAGCAGUAACAGAAGGAAAGCUAGAAAAUUAACAAAUAUGUGGAAAUGAAAUAACACAUUCUUUAAAAUCAAAUGGAUUAAAGAAGAUAUCACAAGAGGAACCAGGAAAUAGUUUGAGACAAACAAAAAUGAAAACAACAUACCAAAACAUAUGGGAUGCAAUGAAAGCAGUGCUCAAAGAGAAAAAAUAUAGUGAUAAGUUCCUACAUAAAUAAGAGCCUUGCUUUUCUUCACCACCACCCUAUGUGCAGUUGAAUUAGUUCCUUGUCAUGUCUUCUCACAAGACCUUCAGGAUCAAGCAAUUCCUGGCCAAGAAGCAAAAGCAAAAUCAUCCCAUUCCAACGGAUUUGAAUGAAAACUGGUAAUAAAAUCAGGUGCAAUGCCAAAUAGAAGACAUUGAAGAAGAAGCAAGCUGGGUCUAUAAGGCGCCCUGCACAUGACGUGGCACAUAUAUUUAUGCUGUGUCAGUCACUUGCAUCUUACCAUAGCACUCUGAAAACAUCACAGCCACAGACGGAUAUACUGGGAAAGGGGUUCUCUAUGUACUGGUGUUUAUGCACAGCGCUUUGCCUCAGCCCCAGAAAUAAGUAUGUGAGGCCCCUUGUUGGAGAAAGAAAGAGAGAGAGAGAGAGAAAGAGGGCUCUUAAAUAACUCAACUUUACAGUCAAAGGAACUAUAAAUGGAAAAGUGAACUAAACCCAAAGUUAGCAGAAAAAAGAAAAUAAAUAUCAGAGUGGAGAAAUGAACCGAACAAUCAACCAAAAGUUGGUUAUUUCUUGAAAAGAUCAACAAAGUUGACCAACCCUUAGCUAGAAUGACUAAGAAAAAACUAGAGAAGAUGCAAAUAAAAGCAUAAAUGAAAAUGGGGACAUUAUAAUUGGCCUUACAGAAAUAAAAAGAAUUAUAAGAAGUCUAUAAACAACUACUCCAACAAAUUAGAUAGCCAAGAUGAAGUGGACAAAUUCUUAGCAGCACAUGAGCUACAAAAACUGACUCAAGAAGAAAUAUAAAUUCUGAACAGACUUCUAACAAAUAAGAAAAUAUGAAUCAGUUAUCAAAGAUCUCAUAGUGAAGAGAGGUCCAGGACCUGAUGGCUUCACUGGUGAAUGAGGCUAUACAUGUAAAGAAAAAUUAACACAAGUCCUUCUCAAACGCUUUACGACAACAGCAAUGACUAAAACAGAAGGGAGGGAACACUGCAACAUAUUCUGUGAGGUACUACUCUGAUACCUACCAAAACCAGACAAAUAUAUCACAAGAGAAGAAAACUAGAUACAAAUAUCUAUUAUAGAUGGAAAAAAAAGAAAACCCUAGUAAGCCAAACUCCAGCAGCAUAUUAAAAGAAUCAUAUACAGUGAACAAGUGGGAUUUAUCUCAGGAAUAGAAGGGUGGUUUAACGUGAGAAAAAUCGAUGUAAUACAUCGUAGUAAUAGAAUUAUCCCAAUUGACACAGAAGAAGCAUCUGACAAAAUUCAACAACUUUUUUGAGAUAAAAUUGUAACAAAAUUAGGAAAAGAAGGAAACUUCCUCAAUUGAUAAUGAACUUUUACCCAAAAACCCAUAACUAACAUCAUAAUGGUGAAGACUUCUCCUCUAAAACCAGUAACAGAUUAAAGAUGCCCAUUUUUACCACUGCUUUUCAACAAUGUACAGGAAGUUUUAGCCAUGACAAUUAGACAAAGAAAUUUUUAAAAAGCACCCACAUCGGAAAAGAAGUAAAAUUAUUUUUAUCCACAGAUGAUUUGAUCCUAUAUAGAAAAUCCCAAAGAAUACACACACACAACCUAUUAGAGCUAAUAAAUUCAGCAAAGUUGGAAGACAUGUGGUCAAUACACAAAAACCAUUUCCUAUAUACCAGCAAUGAACAAUCUGAGAAAGAAAUAUUCAAACAAUUCCAUUUGCAAUGGCCAUCAAGAAGGGUAAAGUACGUUGGGAUAAAUUUAACCAAAGAGGUGAAAGACUUCUAUGCUAAACACUACAAGACUGAUAGAAAUUAAAGCCCUAAAUAAAUAGGACAACGUCCCAUGUUCAUGGAUUGUAAGACUUAACUACCCAGUGAUCCACAGCCUGAAUGCAACCCCUGUCAAAAUUCUAAUGGUUUUCUUUUGCAGAAAUGGAAAAAUGGAUCCUAAAAUGUUUAUGGAGUUGCAAGGCACCUUGAAGAGCUAAAAUCAUUAUGAAAAAGAGCACAGUUCUAAGAGUCAGAUUUCCCAAUUUCAAGACUUACACAGAGCUGUAUUAGUCAAAAUAAUGUGGUACUGGCAUAAGGGCAGACGUUGAGACCAACAGAAUAGAACAGAGCACACGGAGAUAAGCCCUCAUGCAUACAGUCAAUUGAUUUUCAAUAAAGCAUCCCAAGACCAGUCAGUGGAAAAAAACAGGCUCUUCAACAAAUGGUGCUGGGACAACUGGACAGCUAGACACAGGAAAAAGAACAAAGUUGGACACAGACCCCACACUGUAAAAAAAUUAUCUCAAAGUGGAUCAGCAACCUAAAUAUAAGAGCUAAAGCCACAGAUUUCUUGAAGGUAAAUCUUUAUGACCUUGGAUUUGACAAUAAGUUAUUAGAUAUGCAAGCAACAAAGACAACAUUACGCAUUAAAUGGCACUGAAUUGUUUGACUUUAAAAUGAUUGUCAUGUAGAUUUCACCCAAUUAAAAAAAAAUAGGGGCCACAUAAGACUUAAAAGAAGCACAGAGAGAAAUAUCCCCAGAAAAAGGAAGUCUAGCAUUAAGCAUCAAAGUGGGGAAUGCUAGACAGAAAUAGGCAGUUCUUACGUAGCAACAAGGAAGGACUCUGACGUGACUGGUUAAAAGCGCCCGUCACUUCUUGGAAUCACUUGAACAGGCUCAGAUAUAUUGAGAAGUGGUGUGGCAGUGAAGGAAGGAAAUAGGAGGAAGUGAAAGAAUCCUGCAGGAAUUAAAGAAAAACAAGACAUGCCAGUUGCCUGACACACAUAUCUCACAACAGCAGUAUCUAGAAAUGAAACUGCCUAAAAGAGGACAAGCGUGGCAGAAGAGGGCAUUUUUGUACUAGGAACUUUGGACUUAAGUACAUGGGAAUGUAAGUACGCAGACUGCAUCCGUGGAAUGCUCCUGCGAGGGGAAAGAUCCGAGAAUUGAGAAUAAAACCUUUUCUGCUAAUAAAAUUCUCCUCUGAAUUCUAUCCAUAAAGCUGAAGGAGACUACAAACAAUAUUCCCAACUGGAUAAAAUAGUCUCGACAUUUGGGAUGUGGGCACAUACCUUGAAUCAGUAAUAAAUCACUUAGCGAUGGAUAAAAAUAAAUAAAAACAGGAAAUGACAAGUAGUGUCUGGACUACAAACAGAAAUAGAAGAAGAGCAUGGAAACAGCUAAGAUAAUCAAAGUGAGAGAAGUAACUAGUCAGAGUGACAUGGGUGAAGUGAAGAUUGGCAAAAGAGGUCAGAUGUGCAUGUAACUAAAGUCUCUGAAGAAGAAAGAAAAGAAAAGACAAUAGAAAUAAUAUUUAAAGCCAUUUGCUAAAAAUUCUAUAAAUACAGUAAAAUCUAACACAGUGAAGGGACCCACAUGGGUACUAAGGAAAUUGAUCUGGAACAAUAAACUCUGAAACAUUUCCUAGUAAAACUAUUAGGCUUUAAAAAUAGAGAAGAAAUCCUAACAGCCUCUAAGCAAAAAAAUGACAUAACUUAAAAGGCAAGGAAAUCACACUGGCAGAGUUCCCGUUGUGGCGCAGUGGUUAACGAAUCCAACUAAGAACCAUGAGGUUGCGGGUUCGAUCCCUGGCCUUGCUCAGUGGGUUAACGAUCCGGCGUUGCUGUGGCUGUGGUGUGGGUUGCAGACAUGGCUCGGAUCCCACGUUGCUGUGGCUCUGGCAUAGGCUGGCGGCUACAGCUCCGAUUCGACCCCUAGCCUGGGAACCUCCAUAUGCCAUGGGAGGGGCCCAAGAAAGGCAAAAAGGCAAAAGAAAGGAAAAAAAAAAAACAUCGCACUGGCAGUAGACUUAUCAAAAACAAUAUACAAAGUGAGAAAAAGACAAGCACAAUUUUUAAGAAACUUGAGGAAGUGCAAACCAAGAAUUUUAUGUCCAGUCAGGCUGGACUUCAUGUAUCAAGAUGACAGGAAAGAAGUUUUACAUGUGGAGCAAGUGUUGUACACAUGAGCCCUUGCUGAGCAACUUGCUAGAGGAUGAGCUUCACCCCAACCAUGAGAAGACUGGAAAAACUGGCAAAAGAACUGAUGGUAAACACUCCGUAUUCUUAGUUACAGAAUUAGAUGAAGACCCGGAUAGAAUCAUGACUGAAUAAUAAUAUAGGAACAUCAUAUGUCCUGGAAAAAUGGGAAGAAUACAAAUCUGGGAGGAAAAGGAUGAAGUAAUGAGAAAGUGUAUAUAUAACUAUAUGUUAGAUUGGAAAAAACAGGAGUUCCCAUUGCUGCACAGCAGAAACUAAUCUGACUAGUAUCCAUGAGGAUGCGCCUUCGAUCCCUGGCCUCAUUCAGUGGGUCAGGGAUCCUGCGUUGCCAUGAGCUGUGGUGUAGGUUGCAGAUGUGGCUCAGAUCCCACAUUGCUGUGGCUGUGGCCAGCAGCUGCAGCUCCAAUUUGACCCCUAGCCUGGGAACUUCCAUAUGCCACAAGUGCAGCCUAAAAAAAAAAAAAAAAAAAAGACAAAGAUAUUUUAUAAUGCCAAAAGCCACAUUUCAUAGUGAAGUUACAACAGUUAUGAAUAACUAUGCAAUAAAUACCACCUGUAUAAGAAACUAUUAGAUAUUCAGGGAAAAAUAUAAAUACAUUAAUAAUGUGAGAACUGCAUUCUACUUUCAUAUGAUGGACCAAAUAGACAAAUAAAACAAGGAUAUAAAAAAUCUGAAGAACAUAAUUCAUAAGACCUGACUUAUGAAAACAACACCAUGGCAAUAGAGAAUAUUCCAUCUUGAGCACACAUUUAGAAAUCUAAAUACAGAGAUCAAUAAAAAUACAGAAAUUAUCAAUUUGAAGAGCUAAAAAAGAACCUACAGUAAAUCGAAAGAAAGCACAAAGAAGAAAAUAACUAGGACAAAGACAAAAGCAGAAAUUAAUGAGGCUGAAAAAGAGUAAAAUAGUUAACCAAAUUAAUAAUAUAAAAAUCCUGGUUUAAAUAUAAAAGUUGACAAACUAACAAUUAAUUAAGGAGAAAAGAGAGAAAGCACAAAUAUGAAGAAGAUGUAAGGGGAAAGUAACCACUGUUGCGGAGAAAAUUUUAAAAUCAUAAUAUGCUAACUACUUGGUACACUUAUUUGUAAAACCUAGAUGACAUGGAUAAUUUCCUUGCACAAUACAAUUUAUCUAAAAUUGAUCUCAGUAGAAAUAGAAAACUAACACCUAACUUCCAAAAAAUAAAUAGAAAAAUUAUCAAGGAACUACCCUAAAAGAAUGUGUGAUAUUCAAUAGCUUUCACAGGAGAAUUCUACCAAAACGUUUUUAGAGAACAGAGGGUCCUGAUUUUCCAUAUAUUGUUUCAGAGCACAGGAAAUAAAGGAAAUCUUCCAAAUACACCUUAGAAGCAAAUAUAACAUUGAUAUAUAAUCUUGAUAAUAGUAGAACACAGACUGGCCAAUAUUAUUUAUGAAUGCUGAUACCAAAAUCCCAAGUAUUUCUCCAUAUCAAUAGAUUUGAGAAGAAACCUAUGAUUGCCUCCAAAAGUCAUUCCUAACUAAAUUCUUCUGCAACUACAAAUGGAUGGACACUUCCUUGGUAAAACUACACAAAUACUAGGAGAAAACAGGAGUGAAUUCCUCUGUAAACUAAGCAUAGGAAGAAGGUUUCACGACUAUGGCUAAAAAUCUAGAUGUAACAAGAAAAGAUAAAUUUGUUGACAGAUUUAUUAAACCUCUAGCUUAGAAAACACACCUUAAUCAAAAGACAAUGACAAAAUGGAAGGAAAUCUUUGCAACAGAAGUCUAAUGGCUGUGAUGUACACAAAACUUUUAAAAACUGAGGGAGUAAAGGACCAAGAUGAUUAAAGAAAAAUAAGCAAAAGAUAUAAACAGACAUCUCAGGAAAUAGUAUAUGCCUAUCACAUCAACAAAAACAAUUGCAAAAUCUUGAUAACAUUCUCCUUUGGUGAGACUGUGUGGAAAUAGUCUCAUACUGCUUAUGUGAAUUCAUAUGGCACUGUCCCUUGUAGAGGGGAAUUUGGCAAUAUUCAACAAAACUAAAUGUUUAUAUUUCAACCUGGAAAUCCCACUUCUAGGAAGGUACCUUAAGGAUGCACCUCUAAAAAUAUGCAAAAUCAUGCAGAAAAUCAUUCAGUGCAGCAUUACUUGCAAUUACAAAAUAUUAGAGACUGACCAAAGGAGUGACCACAGAAUGGUGAGCACAGCUGCCAUCAGAGACCACCUACACAUUAAGUAUAAGAGACUGGUUGAAAAGACUGUAGGACAUACGCACCAAAGAACACCAUGCAACUCUAAGACUGAGAAUGCUCUCGAUGAAUGGCUAUUGAAUGAUGGCUAGGUGACAAAUGCAAAGUACAAACGAGCAUCUACAGAAUACUACAUUUUUGUAAUAAAGAAGUUGACAUGAGAAAAUAAUCCCACAUGUUUGAUACCACACAUACACACACUCACACACUAAUAAUAACCAGAAAACACUGAAAUUGGUUACCAAAAAGGGGUGGGGAGAAUUAGGAUGGGAGGGAUAUGGGAAGAAAGGACAUUUUGCUCAGAAGACCUUUUUAUGUGGUUUUGACUUUGGAAGUAUAUGAAUGUUCUGCAUACACAAAAAGUAGAGUUAAAUCAGCAAGUUGGAAGAUGCCUCUGGACUGGUGGAAUGAGGACCUUGACAGAACUGCUCCCUAGAAAGCAACUGUAAAACUGGACCAUAUUGUUUAAAACAAUUCUUUAAAAAUUCCAGACGUUAACUAGAGCCAUAUAACAAAUUGAAUGGUGUCUAUUCAAGAAAAACUACUAAACCUGGUAAAUAGCAGAGCCUCUGGCAAUUUAACUUGGGGCUCCUUGCAUCCCCCCCCCCCCAUCCGAGCUCAGUGGCACAGCAGCUCUAAGAAUUUUCUGGCUCAGUGCCAACAAAGAAGGAUAAUCUGAUGUGGAGCUCCAUGGAAAACACCCCGCAACUGUCAAAUAACAGUGAUCUCAGUGGCAAGUAACUGGGGAAGGUCAGCACUGCAGCUACUGAAGACUGCAGUGUUGUUUGGGACAAGCAAAAAGCUUAAAAGGGAUUCUUGAGAUUUGAGAGACUGUACCUCCUCUCAAGAGAGACCAGAGAAGACCCUUGUUAUUUACAUAUCCUGGGCUGACCAUGAGACCCUGUGUAAGCAGAAAGCAAAAGCCAGGAAAUACUUGCAAAAUGCUUGCAACUGCAAGGAAUAUCUAAACUCAUACACAGAUCACCUCAGCAAAUGGUUGAAGCCUCAUUGGCUCAAGAUGUUUAAACAAAACUGACCAGGCAGCCUCACCACUAGGUUAUGCUGAUCUACGAGGUGACACAAACAAAAAUCAGAAAUGAAAAACUGAGCAGAGACAUCAGUGGUCACACACUGCAUGACACAGACUAUAGAAUCAGUGCCGGCAAGGCAUAAACAAGUCCAACAACAACCAAAAAAAAAAAAAAAUCUAGCAAAAACAACAAUCACCCCUGGUAAGAGGGAAGAAUAAGGACUCAGAAUUCCUAUAUUAUAUAAAAUGAUCAGUUUUUAACCAAGAAUUUCAGGACAUACAAGAAACAAGGCGGUAACCCUUAAACAUGAAUAAAAAGUAAUCAAUAGAAUUGAUCUCUGAGGGCACCGCAGUAGGCUAAGACUUCAAAGCAGCUUUCAUAAAUCUAUUCAAAGAAAAAAAAACAGUAAAUGAGUGAAGGGAAAGUAUGCCGAUGAUUCAUAAAUGGAUAACAUCAAUAAAGAGAUAAGAAUUAUAUGAUAAAUCUAAUAGAAAUUCUAGAGUUGAAAGCACAACUUAGAAACAAGCAGGGCUAAACAACAGAUUUGAGCUGGCAAGAGAAAGAAUCAAUGAACUUGAAGACAGAUCCAUAAAGAUGAUUCAUUCUGUUGAGUGACAACAUGUGCAUAAUUAAAGUCUCCAGAAAGAAAUGGGGAAAAAAAAUCUUUGAAGAGAUAUUUAACAUUAACCUGAAGCACAAUGUGUUCAGUUAAGAUGCUUAUUGUAACCUCCAGAGUAUACUACUAAGAAAAUAACUUUAUAAAUAGGAAAAUGAAACUAACAAAGGAAUCAGAAUGGUAAAAUAAACUUAUCUAUUAACAGAACAUAAUUCAGUAAAGGAGGAAGAGAACAAAAUGAGAAGAGACACAAGACAUAGAAAAUGAAUAGCAAAUGAAAGGUGUAAAUCCUACCAUAUAAAUAAUUACAUUAAAAUAAUUAAACAUUCAAUAAAGAAGUAGAGACUACCAGCCUGCCUAGAACAGGAAUCAAGUAUAUGCUGCCUAUUAUAUGUAUGUUAUAUGUUCAAAGACACAAACAGGUUCAAAGAAGAAGGAUGAAAAAUGAUGAUAUGCAAACAUGAAACCCAAGAAGGCUGGAAUGGCUAUACUGAAUAUCAGACAGAACAGACCUUAAACUGUAUUUCUGGAGACAAUGACAGACAUUUAUAAUAAUAAAAUUGUAAAAUCAUCAGGAAAAAGUAAAAAAUAUAAGAAAAAACCUAAAAGUUAUAAAGAGAUAAAAAUUAUAUACACAAUAACAGAGUCCCAAAAUACAUGAAGCAAAACUGACAGAACUAAUGAGGGAAAUAGAUAAUUCAGCAAUAAUAGACAAGUCAACAGUAAAAUAGCAGUUUUGUUCAAGUUUUUUAUAUCAGGACUUUUAUAUCUUUAAUUUUCACCAAUUAAAUUAUUUCAUCAGUUAUUAAGAGUUGAGCAUUAAACUAUCACCUAAAUACUACUGUUGAAUGAGAUGGUGGGACAGGAGGGUAUGUGGCACUCUGCUUAAUGACCUCCUCUCUUUGGUGUCAGGGACCCAAUGGGAAGCUAAUUAUCCCACCUGGCAGUGGGAUCCACUGGGGAGCUGAUCUUAUACCCUAUUCAGAGGCAAUAAGGAGUGUGAGUUGGUGCCACUACUUUCAUUGGGAAGAUGUCAGUGGGCCAAAAGGGGAGCUAAAUUUCCAUACAUGUACCUACAGUGAAGUAGUGUAAGGCUGUGCUCUACGUUUUCUGGAGCAAGAUUGCUGGGGGGGCAUAUGGAGACAAUGAACAUGCAUGCUCAUCCAGCCUUGUGGCUACACUUCUGCAGAGAAACUGUCUACUAAAACAAACAAGAAACAAACCAAAAACCAAAAUAAGAAAAAAGCCACCACCACCACAACAAAAAAAACAAAGCCAAAUAUUAAAUUGGAUCCAGAAUCUCAUAAUCUCUAAAAUUUCCAAUGUACAAGUGAAAGGCACUUGUCAUGACAAAAAUCAGGAAAGUCACAAUAUAAAUGAAAAAAGAUAUUCAAGAGAUGCCAAAACCAAAGUAAGUAAAACGUUGGAAUUAUUUGACAAGGAUUUUAAAGAAGUCAUCAUAAAAAUACUUUAAUAAGCAAUGACAAAUUUUCUCAACACAAGUGAAAAAAAUAGAAGUUAUUUAAAAAUGGAAAUUGUGGAACUGAGAAAUAUAAUAAUUGAAAAUAAUAAUACAAUAAAUAAAAUAUAAUAGUUGGAUGGACUCAGUUGUAGAGGAUAGAAUCAGUGAACUUAUGUCUAGUCAAUAGAAUUGACUCAAUCUGAACGACAAAAUGAUAGAAAAUAAAAAAUGAACAGUGUUUCAGUGAUCUGUUUGGCCAUGUGAAAAGAGCUAAUGUUUGUAUCACUGGAAUUCCAAAGGAGAGGUGGGAGUGAAAUAAAAAUUGUAUUCGAAGAAAUAAUGGCUGAAAACUCUCCAAUUCAGGGAAGAUUACAGCCCUACAAAUUCAAGAAGCUGAGUGAAUAAGGAGCACAAAACCAAAUCUAUUAAAAUAAAUCUAUGCUGGGACCAAUUAUAAACAUCUGAAAACUAAAGACAAAAAAUACUCUGAAAGAAGAUACAUGGCAUCAUCUUUAUAGAGGGAACACUAAUUUAAACAGCAGUGAAUUUCUCAGCAGAAACCAUGGAGACCAGAAGAAAGUGGCAUAGUAUUUUUGUAAUAUUAAAAAACUGUCAGCUGUGAAUUCCAUAACCCAAAAAAUACACUUCAGGAAUGAAGGAGGAAUAGACAUUUUCAGAAAGGAAACAGAAUUUGUUGCUAGCAAACCUACCCUUAAAGGACAGUAUGUCUGCCAUGUAAGGUGGUGCUCAAUGAGUGAGAAGGAAACACUUAAGGGCACGUGUGCGUUUUAAAUGGUGAGGACGAAAGAAACUAAACAGAAGCAAGGUUUCAACACUUCAGUCAAAUAAGUAAAGCACUGAUGUCAGUAAAUUAUGACAGACUUCACAUUUGCACUUGGAACCUAGGGCAAUUACUAAGAAAACCCUACAAAACUUCUGACUCCACAACACUGUAGACACCAGAAGGGUAAACAGGGAACAUGUCAAUUCUACACACACAAGUUUGACAACUUAGAUAAAGUGAACCAAUUCCUCAAAAAGCACAGACUACAUUCACCCGGUAUGAAGUAGGUAAUUUUUAUAGCCCUAUCACUGUUAAGAGAUUCAAUUUGUAAUUUACAAAUUCCCAAGAAGAAUCUCCAGGCCCAAAUGGUUUUACUGAAGAUCCUGCCCAAACUUUUAGAGGAGGAUCAGUAGUAUUCCACACAAUCUUUCCAAAACAAACGAAAAACAGAAGAGGAGGGACUACUGUCCAAUUCAUUUUAUGAAGAUAGAAUCCCCCUGAUAACAAAGCAAAGAUGGUGCCAGAAGUGAAAACCACAAGCCAGUAUCCCUCAUGAAUACUGAUGGGGAAAUUCUUUUUCGUAUUAGUAGAGCAUCAUGCUCCCUGAUUUCAAACUGUAUUCCAAAGCGGUAGUAAUUACAAUAGUAUGGCAUUGGCAUAAAAACAGACAUACAGAUCUGUGGGACAGAAUAGAGUCCAGAAAUAAGCCCACAUACUCAUGGUCAAUUCAUAUGUGACAAAGGAGUCAAGAAUAUACAACGUGGAAAGGGUAGUCUCUGGAGUAAAUGGUGUGGGGGGAGUUCCCAUCAUGGCACCGCAGAAACGAAUCUGACCCGGAACCCUGAGGUUGCAGGUUCCAUCCCCGGCCUCGCUCAGUGGGUUAAGCACCUGGCAUCGCUGUGAGCUGUGGUGUAGGUCACAGACGUGGCUCAGAUCUGGCAUUGCUGUGGCUGUGGUGCAGGCCGACUGCUGUAGCUCCGAUUGGACCCCUAGCCUGGGAACCUCCAUAUGCUGUGGGUGCAGCCCCAAAAAGCAAAAAAAUAAAUGAAUAAAAUAAAUGGUGCUGGGAAAACUGGACAACCACAAGCAAAAGAAUAAAACGUGACCACUAUCUAACAUCAAACACAGACACUAACUCAAAAUGCACUGAAUGUAAACCCCAAACCAUAAAACUCCGAGAAGAAAGCAUCAGCGGUAAACUCUUUGAUAUACAUCUUGAUGUUGGGUUGUUUAAUCUGGCACCAAAAGCAAAAACAAGCAAGUGGGACCGCAUCAAACUAAAAGCCUUCUGCGCAGCAAAGGGAAUCAUCACCACAAUGAAAAGGUACCCUGCUGAGUGGAAGAAAAAAUUUGUCAGUUACACACCUGAUAAGGGGCUGACAGCCAAACAUAUAAACAUACAACUCAGUAACAGCAGAACCGAAUCCUAUUAAAAAUGGGCAGAGGAUGUGAAUAGACAUUUUUCCAAAGAAGACUAACAGAUGACCAGCAAGUACCUGAAAAGAUGCUCAGCGUCACUCAUCCUCAGGGACAUGCAAUCGAAAUCGCAGUAAGGUACCACCUCAUGCCUGUGAGAAUGGCGGUGAUCAAAAGAGAAGCAGCAGCAAGUGUUGGUGAAGAUGUAGGUGCAGCAAAGGGAGAUUUUGUGCACUGUUGGUGGUUGUAAAUUGGUGCAAUAACUGUGGUAAAUGGGGUGGAGGCGCCUCAAAAAUUAAAAAUAGAACUACCAUGUGAUCCAGCAAUUCCAUCUCUGGGUAUUUAUCAAAAAAAGAAAAAAGAAAAUACUAGCCCAGAAAGACACGUGCACUCAGGUUCAUUGUGGCAUUAUUUACAAUAGCCAAACCAAGAUAAGGAAAGGACGUACAUCCAUCGAUGAAUCAGUGGAUAAAGAAGUUGUGUGUAUACACACACACACACACACACACACACACACACACACACACACACAGCAGAAUACUACUGAACUCUGAAGAGCAGUGAAAUCUGGUCAUUUGGAACAUGAUGGACCUCAAAGGCCUUCUACUAAGUGAAGUAAGUCAGAGAAAGGCAAAUAUGUUUUGCCUUCUCUCUCUCAUAGGUGAAAUCUAACACAAAACGAAACCACAAAAAUGAAGCUCAAAGAUACAGAGAGCAGACUGGUGGUUUUCAGAGGUGGAGCAGUGGGAGAAAUGAGUAAAGGAGGGGUCAAAAUGUAAGAAGAAGAACAGAAAUUUUAAGUUAAAUAAAUUAAGUUUCAGAAUAAUAUAUAGAGUCAAAGACAAUGAUCUAGGAUACCUAUCCAACGGACAGGAAUUCUGGAAGGAGAGUGCGGAGAAUAUAAAGAGGAGGAAGCUCAUAAGCGAAACACUGAUUCCUCAGGCUAGAGGGUGGGAGAGACUUCAGAGCAAAAGGACCCGCUUACCAAGCGCCCACCAAGACAGACAGGGAGAAAACACCCUCUUCUGGGCCGAUCGUUGUGACAUUUCAAAACACCAUAAACUAUGGGGAAAAGUGAGCCUCCAGAAGUGGGGAAAACAGAUCAUCAAGAGAGGAGUGAACCUAAUUAAAAAAUAAAAUGUUAGCAAAGAGAACCCAAUAGUACAUGAAAAGAAUCAUAUCCCAUGACCAGUGGGAUUUAGUCUAGGAAUGCAAAAUUGGUUCAGAAUUCAAAAUCAUUCAAUGUAAUGCACCAUAUUAAUAAGUAAAUAAUAAAAAUAGUAUCAAUUGAGGCAUACAAUCUGACUACAUCCAACAUCUUUUCAAAACUCAAAAAAUAGAAAUAAAAGGGCACAUUCUCAGUUUGAUAAACACCAUCUACCAAAAGAAACUAUUUCUAACAUCAUAAUUAAUGGUGAAAGGCUGAAUGAUUUUCCCUUAAGAUUGAGAAGAAGGCAGCAAUGUUCACUCACCAUCCUUAUUUGACCUGUUCCUGGAAGUUAUAGCCACUUCAGUAGCUCAGGAAAAGUCAAUAAAAGGCAUACAUACAGGAAGAAAAAAUAAAACUGCCACUAUUUGAAGACGGCAUCACAGUCAAAAUGCUAAAAGCCAAGGACGGAGAAAAUCUCAAGGAGCAAGAGAAAAAGGGGACCCAGCGAAGCUUAAGAGGAGACGUGUCCUCAGAAAUAAUGGAACCGAAAGCAGUGCGGUGACGUCAUCGAAGGAUUUGAAGACGAAAAAAUUAACAGACUCAUAUCGAGGAAGACUAUCCUUUUAAGGAAGACAAAAUAAUGACAUUUCCAGAUAGACAAGAAUAGAGAAUUCCUCGUUGGUGUAUCUGCUUCGUAAAAGCUAAUGAAGGAAGUUUUUCAGGCAGAAAGCAAGUGGCCCCCAUAGUAAACUGAAUACACACAUAUAACAGAACAAAAAUCAUCCCUAAAGGCAAUAUUGUAAUUAUGCAAUAUAAAUGCAUCUUCCCAAUUACAAAGCAGUUGUGUAAAACAAAGGUAUUUAGUUGUACUGUUGGCCUGAACUAUGUAGACAUGUAACACUUCAUCUCUCUCUUUUUUUUUUUUUUGAGUUUUAGAGUGGUUUAUUACAGAGCAGCAGAAAUGGAAACAUUAACACAACUUACAAAGAACUUCUACAUCAAUACAGAUAUCAACAGAAGCACAUAAAUAAAAGACGAACAAAUUAUUCUAAUAAGAUGUAUAUAACUAUAAGAACAAUGGCUAAGGAAAUAGCUCAGUCAGAAAUAACUAAAGCAACUGAAAAAAAUGUAUCAGGAAACAUUCACUGAAAUUAAAAGAAAGUAGUAACGGAGAACUGGAGGAACAAAAAAUCCAUGAGGCAGACAAAACUAAAAGUAAAACUGCAAGCAAACCCAACUGUAUUAAUCUCGGUAAAUGUGAAUGGAUUCAGCCAUGAAAAGGAGAGCGUAUCAAACUGGAUUAAAAAAUAAGAUUCAACUCUAUGCUACCUAUAGGAGGUAUACUUUAGAUUCAAAGAUAUACAUUGAAAGUAAAAGGAUGAAAAAAGAUAUAUCACGCACCCAGCAACCAUGAGAUACCUGGAGUGCUGUACUAAAAUCAGACAAAGGGGACUUUAAAUAAAAACGUUACUAGUAUUAACGGGGGUCAUUUUAUAAUGAAAAAGUGUCAAUUUGCCAGAAGAUAUAACAAUUAUGAACUUAUAUGCACCUAAGACCAGAGCACCAAAACACAUGCAGCAAAAACUCACAGGCUUGAGCAGAGGAAGAGCCAAUUCUUCGGUACUUGGAAAUGCCCAUAUCCUAUUUUCAGUAAUGUAGAGACCAAAUAGACAGACGAUCAGAGGAAACGGAAGAGAUGUAUAAUACUAUAAACCAUCUGGACCUAUGGAUAUCUACAGAACACUACAAACGGGAACCACAGAAUGCAGCGUCUUUUCCAAUGCACACGGUACAUUCUCCAAGAUGGACCAGGUGAUAUGCUAUUAAACAAACCUCAAUAAAUUUUAAAGGAUACUGUUAAUACAGAGUAUGUUUUCCAACCACAGUGGAACACAAGUAGAAAUCAAUUAACAGAAAGAAGCUUGGGAAACAUGUCAAUAUGUGGAAUUUAAACAACACACUCUUAAAUAACCAUGAAUCAAGGAGGAAUUCACAAGGAAAAUUAGAAGAUACUUUGAGAUGAAUGAAAACAAAGGCAUAGUACAUCAGAACUAAUGGGAUACAGUUAAAGAGAAUUUUAUGGCUAUAAAUGCCCACAUUAAAAACACAAUAGACCUUGGAGUUCCCGUCGCGGCUCAGUGGUUAAAGAAUCCAACUAGGAACCAAGAGGUUGCAGGUUCGAUCCCUGGGCUUGCUGAGUGGGUUAGGGAUCCGGCGUUGCUGUGAGCUGAGGUGUAGGUUGCAGACGCGCCUCGGAUCCCCACAUUGCUGUGGCUGUGGCGUAGGCCGGUGGCUACAGCUCCGAUUGGACCCCUAGCCUGGGAACCUCCAUAUGCCGUGGGAGCGGCCCAAGAAAUGGCAAAAAGACAAAAAAUAAAAAUAAAAAAAUAAAAAACACAAUAGCCUCAAGUCAAUAAACUGAUUCCACUUUAGGAAGCUUGGAAGCAAAGAGAAGAAAAAAUAACUAAACCUAAAGCCAGCAGAAGAAAUGAAAUACUAAGUAUUUGAACAUCAAUUGAUGAAACAGAGGAUAGAAACAUGCUAGAGAAAGUCAACAGAACCAAAAUUUGGUUAUUUGAGGAGAUGGACAAAAUUGAUAACCCUUUAGCUAGACCAGUGACAGAAGAAGACGCAAAUUACUAAAAUCAUCGGUGAAAGUACUUUAUAGCUGACUAUACAGAAAUAACAAAGAUUACAACGAACACUAUGAAAUGCUUGGUGCCAACACAUUACACGAUGUAGAUAAAAUGGACAUCUUCCUAAAAAGUCAAAAGCUACUGAUUAUAAGUAGACAAUCUGAAUAGAGCUACAAGUAAAGAGAUUUAAUUAGUAAUCAGAAUGCUACAUACAAAGACAAACCCAGCUGGCCCAGAUGGCUUCACUGAUAAAUGCUACGAAAAUUUAAAGAAUUAAUACCAAGUCUGUACUUUCCCCUCCAUCAAAAAUAAACACAGAAGAGGAGGAAUCUCUUCCCAACACAUUCUUGAGCUCAGUGUUACCAAAACCAGACACAGAUACAACACAAAAGAGAACCACUGCAGACCAAUCAUUCUUAUGAAAAUAGACGCAGAAUACUCAACAGAAUACUAGCAAGUAAAAUACAGCAAUAUGUUAGAAAUAUAUAUAUACACUAUGACCAAGUGGUAUUUAUUCCAGGAAUGCAAGGCUGGAUUCCUACCUGAAAGUUGAUCAACCUAAUGCACCAUUUCAAAACAUAAAGGACAAAAACUACAUGCUUAUCAAUGGCAGACACGGGAAAUGCAUUUGAUGAAAUUCAAUGCACUUACAUGACGAUAAAAAGGCGUCAAUAUGCUAGGAAUAACAGUCUGAUAAAGUGCAUCUAUUUAACUUCGUAUUUAAUGGUGAAAGACAAAAGGCUUUCACCAUUAAAGAAUAAGACAGAGACAUCUGCUCUCAUCACUUCUCUUCAGCAUUGUAUUGUAAGUUCCACUCAUGACAGUUGGGCAAGAAAAAGAAGAGGCAUCCAGUUUAGAAAUAAAAAGGUAAAACUAUCUCUAUUCAUGGAUGACAGGAUUUUCUAUACAGAAAAUCUCAAGGAAUCCACCAAAAAAAAAAAAAAAAAAAAA
Molecule: long non-coding RNA, 25547 nt
Organism: Sus scrofa (pig)
Lineage: Eukaryota; Metazoa; Chordata; Mammalia; Artiodactyla; Suidae
Source: RefSeq, a predicted model, not a curated record